GCCCGGGUGGCGGAAUGGCAGACGCAAGGGACUCAAAAUCCCUCGAUCGCAAGGUCAUGAGAGUUCGACUCUCUCCCCGGGCA
RNAcentral lists this transfer RNA (83 nucleotides) under Candidatus Wildermuthbacteria bacterium. Its description in RNAcentral is "tRNA-Leu". It matches the Rfam family "tRNA". Rfam says of the family: Transfer RNA (tRNA) molecules are approximately 80 nucleotides in length. Lineage: Bacteria; Candidatus Wildermuthiibacteriota. The record is from RNAcentral.